UUGCCUUAAUGUACAAAGUCAUUUCAAAUCCAUUUAGCACAAAAAAGAAUCUUAUAAAAUAAAUCCAGCAAACAACUCAAAACAAAAUAUUGAUAAGUGAGUUUAUAAUAUAGAGCAAGAACUAUAGAAAUAAGCAGUCCCCAAAAUACAGUAGCUUAAAAAACAUAGACCUUUAUUUUUAUUCCAUGUAACAGUCCUGAGUGAGCAGUCCAAGCCAGCUGAGUGGUUUUACUUCUAUCAUUCAGGUACCUCAUUUCCUUUCAUCUUGUAGUUCUUCCAACACGUCAUCAAGGAUCAUCUAUGUUCCAGUUCUCAGACAGGAGAAAGAACAUGAGAAAGCAGGUAUUCAAUGUUUUAAGGUCUCUUGUGCAUGUGAAUUUCCAUGACAUUCUAUUCAACUGGAGUAACUAAGAAGAAAGAACAAUGUCCCUCUAUACAAGGAGAGUGAGAAGGAAGGAGUAAGUAAGAGAAGGAAAAGAUAUCCUGGAGAAUUUUCCAUGAUCAGCUCUUUAACACUGGCUGUGACUAUGUUGUCCAAAUUAAUGACCAAAAACAAAUAAAUAAAAAAC
Long non-coding RNA from Callithrix jacchus (white-tufted-ear marmoset), 569 nucleotides. RefSeq lists it as uncharacterized. The record is from RefSeq and is a predicted model, not a curated record. NCBI's taxonomy places the organism in Eukaryota, Metazoa, Chordata, Mammalia, Primates, Cebidae.